This 253-nucleotide ribosomal RNA is filed under the name uncultured bacterium. Its description in RNAcentral is "partial 16S ribosomal RNA". It matches the Rfam family "Bacterial small subunit ribosomal RNA", at positions 524 to 776 of the family's 1533-position model. The record is from RNAcentral.
UACGUAGGGGGCAAGCGUUGUCCGGAAUCAUUGGGCGUAAAGCGCGUGUAGGCGGCUUGGUAAGUCCGCUCUGAAAGCCCGGGGCUCAACCCGGGGAGGCGGGUGGAUACUGUCAAGCUCGAGUCCGGAAGAGGCGAGUGGAAUUCCUGGUGUAGCGGUGAAAUGCGCAGAUAUCAGGAGGAACACCAAUGGCGAAGGCAGCUCGCUGGGACGUGACUGACGCUGAGACGCGAAAGCGUGGGGAGCAAACAGG